UACGUAGGGUGCAAGCGUUGUCCGGAAUUAUUGGGCGUAAAGAGCUCGUAGGCGGUCUGUCGCGUCGGCUGUGAAAACCCGGAGCUCAACUCCGGGCCUGCAGUCGAUACGGGCAAACUGGAGUGUUGCAGGGGAGACUGGAAUUCCUGGUGUAGCGGUGGAAUGCGCAGAUAUCAGGAGGAACACCGGUGGCGAAGGCGGGAUCCUGGGCCAGUACUGACGCUGAGGAGCGAAAGCCAGGGGAGCAAACGGG
Molecule: ribosomal RNA, 253 nt
Filed under: uncultured bacterium
Lineage: Bacteria
Description: partial 16S ribosomal RNA
Rfam family: Bacterial small subunit ribosomal RNA
Source: RNAcentral